RNAcentral lists this ribosomal RNA (497 nucleotides) under uncultured bacterium. RNAcentral's name for it is "partial 16S ribosomal RNA". It matches the Rfam family "Bacterial small subunit ribosomal RNA", at positions 28 to 507 of the family's 1533-position model. The record is from RNAcentral.
GAUGAACGCUGGCGGCGUGCCUAAUACAUGCAAGUCGAGCGAACAGACGAGGAGCUUGCUCCUCUGACGUUAGCGGCGGGCGGGUGAGUAACACGUGGAUAACCUACCUAUAAGACUGGGAUAACUUCGGGAAACCGGAGCUAAUACCGGAUAAUAUAUUGAACCGCAUGGUUCAAUAGUGAAAGACGGUUUUGCUGUCACUUAUAGAUGGAUCCGCGCCGCAUUAGCUAGUUGGUAAGGUAACGGCUUACCAAGGCAACGAUGCGUAGCCGACCUGAGAGGGUGAUCGGCCACACUGGAACUGAGACACAGUCCAGACUCCUACGGGAGGCAGCAGUAGGGAAUCUUCCGCAAUGGGCGAAAGCCUGACGGAGCAACGCCGCGUGAGUGAUGAAGGUCUUCGGAUCGUAAAACUCUGUUAUUAGGGAAGAACAAAUGUGUAAGUAACUAUGCACGUCUUGACGGUACCUAAUCAGAAAGCCACGGCUAACUACGUG